CGCUGAGGAGCGAAAGCAUGGGUAGCGAACAGGAUUAGAUACCCUGGUAGUCCAUGCCGUAAACGGUGGGCGCUAGGUGUGAGGGUCUUUUCACGACUUUCGUGCCGUAGCUAACGCAUUAAGCGCCCCGCCUGGGGAGUACGGCCGCAAGGCUAAAACUCAAAGGAAUUGACGGGGGCCCGCACAAGCGGCGGAGCAUGUGGAUUAAUUCGAUGCAACGCGAAGAACCUUACCUGGGCUUGACAUACACUGGAUCGGGCUAGAGAUAGUCUUUCCCUUUGUGGCUGGUGUACAGGUGGUGCAUGGUUGUCGUCAGCUCGUGUCGUGAGAUGUUGGGUUAAGUCCCGCAACGAGCGCAACCCUUGUCUUAUGUUGCCAGCAUUUGGUUGGGGACUCAUGAGAGACUGCCGGGGUCAACUCGGAGGAAGGUGGGGAUGACGUCAAAUCAUCAUGCCCCUUAUGUCCAGGGCUUCACACAUGCUACAAUGGUCGGUACAACGCGCAGCGACACUGUGAGGUGGAGCGAAUCGCUGAAAGCCGGCCUUAGUUCGGAUUGGGGUCUGCAACUCGACCCCAUGAAGUCGGAGUCGCUAGUAAUCGCAGAUCAGCAAUGCUGCGGUGAAUACGUUCCCGGGCCUUGUACACACCGCCCGUCACGUCAUGAAAGUUGGUAACACCCGAAGCCGGUGGCCCAAACUUGUUAGGGAGCCGUCGAAGGUGGGAUCGGCGAUUGGGACGAAGUCGUAACAAGGUACCCGUACCGGAAGGUGCGGGUGGAUCACCU
RNAcentral lists this ribosomal RNA (784 nucleotides) under Corynebacterium pseudogenitalium ATCC 33035. RNAcentral describes it as "bacterial SSU rRNA". It matches the Rfam family "Bacterial small subunit ribosomal RNA", at positions 744 to 1528 of the family's 1533-position model. The record is from RNAcentral. Lineage: Bacteria; Bacillati; Actinomycetota; Actinomycetes; Mycobacteriales; Corynebacteriaceae.